Molecule: long non-coding RNA, 1440 nt
Organism: Chenopodium quinoa (quinoa)
Lineage: Eukaryota; Viridiplantae; Streptophyta; Magnoliopsida; Caryophyllales; Amaranthaceae
Exons: 2
Source: RefSeq, a predicted model, not a curated record
AUCAAGCAAUCACCAAACAAAAACACCAAUGCCCCCCAAGCUUAUUCAAAGCCAAAAUCACAAACAUAUAUACACAAAGCGUAAGAACACUUCCCCGCAAGCUAAAAUUAAGCAUUCAAUGCACAAAAUAGGGAGAAAUACACUUAUAUCAACAUAUUUUUGGAAUUUUUAUUUUUCACAUUUUUUUCACUUUUGCCAAAGCAUUUGAAUUUGCUUUGCUUUUUCUCAGUUUUUUCUUUUUUUAAUUUUUCACUUUAUUGCAUUGUCCUCGCCUCUUUUAACUAUAGACGACUUUUUCAACUUGUAAUUUGCCCUUAUUCACAAAAUACAUAAAACAAACUUUCUUAUAUUAUAAGAACCAAUACUCAAGCUCAUCCACCCAAUGGCGGAUCCAGGAGGGUACAUAGAGUUACAACUGUACCCCAUUUUGGAAAAAAAAGUUAAUAGUAAAAGAGACCUGUUCUCUAAGAUAGGCGGUUUCUUUGGUUAAAAUAUUAAAUGCUACAACUAUUAUCUGUCAGUUUUCAUAUACAAGUAAAUAAUUAAAAAAAAAAAAAGAAUGUUCUCUCUUUUUUUUUUGAAAGAACGCUCUCUACCUCUCUCUCCUCACUUCCUCAGUUCACACCACAAAACCAGAAAACCUAGAUCUAAAAUUCACUGUCUACUCCGAUUGCUCACCGGUGCCUCACAAGUCAUGGCCUCAGCCCACUCCGACAGCGGCUUAAUUAUUGAAUUAGUUCCUAGUUCUUACAAGUGAUUCUCACGAAUUGGAGGAUGAAAAACAAAAGUUUAGAAUACUUUUGGAAGGGAGGUGGAGGGAAACCACAUAAAUCUUGAACUGCAUCUUCUCCAAGCUCACAUCCAUCACAAGAGCCUCCAAUAAAUUAUAAUGAGCAAGCAGUCGAUGGAUUUGUUGAUGAGGAGAUGGAGACCAUGGAGCAUGAAGUCCCUGCUGCUCCAAAUCCUCCAAUUGAGGAAGAAAUUGAACAAGAAAGGGCUGAAAAAACACCUUACAGUACAACAAGAACUACUUGUGAGGAAGCUAGUUAUGAUGUUGAGCUUCUUCCACAUGACCCUGGAAAAAGAAAUCCAAUCUCCUCUUAUCCUCCCAAUGAUCAAGAUGCUGUACGGAGAGGAUACAUUCUAAAAAAGGCUUGUCAUUCGCGUACACAUGAUUUUUCUCAUCGUGAAUUAGGAGGUAUGCGUCGCUUUAGCGUUUCUUGGUUUGACAAGUAUGCUUGGCUUGAGUAUAGUGUUGAAUUGGAUGCUUCCUUUUGUUUUAGUUGUUACUUCUUCAGAGAUAAAACUAGUUUUCAAGAGGGGAUGCUUUUGUGAAUGAAGGUUUUAGGGGUUGGAAUAAACCUGCUAGAUUUGACAGACAUGUUGGGGCUUUUAGAAGUUGUCAUAAUGAAGCUCAAGAAAAAGAUAAUUUUUUCAUCA